CACAAACUGACAGAUCACCUAAAAACUGCAUUGUUCUGUGUGUGAUGGCUGAAAUUGACAGAAGCGCACGUUUUGAAGCGGAGGUGGAGAUGUCUGUACUUCAAGACCCACGUGAGGCAGCACACCAGCUGUUCUGCAGGCCCAGACACAGACCAGUGGAGAAGAAGCACCCCUGCCCCACUCACACACCCAGGCAGAAGCCCAGACACAGACCAGUGGAGAGGAAGCACCCCUGCCUCACUCACACGCCCACGCAGAGGUCCAGACACAGACUUUGACCACGACCAGUGGAGAGGAAGCACCCCUGCUCCACUCACACACCCACGCAGAGUUCUGGAUCUGAGACGUGAGAGCAGCCUGCAUUCCUGAGAAUGGGAAGUUCUGGAUCUGGAUCGCCCCACAAAUGAGUGACUGCAUUGCACUUAUUACAUUAUACCUACUUCAAUGUAAAAUACUUUUGGGUGUGAGAUACUAUGAUGCCUAUUUUGGUGUUUUAAUGUUAGGUAGGCCAUCCAGGGCUGAUCUAAGCUUUCUAAGAGUUUAUGAACAGAUAGCAGUCAGAAGAGGAUAGAUUUAGUGUGUUUGGUUCCUCCCCCUUUGAAUCUUGAUGCCUCUCAAGGUUUCUUCCUCCUGCUCUAGGGAGUUUUUAAUUGUCACUGUCACCCCUGGUUUGCUGACUGAGGGUUUGGACUUGGACAUUUGUAAAGCUGCUUUGUGACAUCUGUUGUAAAAAGUGCUAUAUAAAUAAAUUUGAUUUGAUAGUUAAGUGCAGGAAAUGAAAAACAUGAUUUGACUGAUGUGUUGUAAUUCUUACUCAAAGUAACUCACAAACAAGGUAAAGUGUUCCACAGGUCUAUAUAAUAUGCACGAGAGAGAGAGCAUGUGAAGCUAGGUGAAGUUAGCGCUCAGCGCCGAGCACCUCUGAGACUGCUGCAAGUGCGCUCUCUGGUGGAGCAGCAGCAGAACUGCAGGGAUUCCCCAGACCAGAGAAACAGGCUUUACUCAAAAACAGACGUGAGGUCCUUUUCUAAACUCUACAGGGUUAUACAGUGGAAAAAGAAGGAGGAGUGGAGAAGAGCUGGGGGGGGUGGGAGAGAGAGGGGAGAGAGAGAGAGAGAGAGAGAGAGAGAGAGACAGACAGACAGACAGACACAC
Molecule: long non-coding RNA, 1155 nt
Organism: Electrophorus electricus (electric eel)
Lineage: Eukaryota; Metazoa; Chordata; Actinopteri; Gymnotiformes; Gymnotidae
Source: Ensembl